GAAAGUGGUUCCUUUGCUUGAUCCCAGCUCUCUCCCUAUGCUCUAAUUUUCUAGGCACCUGACUUGAGUCUCUGAGGUCCUCUUUGCUGAAGUGAAAGCCUGUGCUACAGAGGAAGAUGGGAAUAUGAAGAUUAUGAACUACAGCUGCCUGAGUUCCAGCAUUUUGCUGCUGCUGCUGGUAUACCUUGGUCAUGACCUGGAAGGACCACCCACUCUUGUAAAAGAGAGCGGCUGAAGCCAGUGGAAUUGUUUCUGAGUGUCAGGGAUGCUGACUUGAUGUUAUACUGACUCUAUGUAUCAGCUAGAAAUUGCCAGUUUCGUGUCUGACACUGCACUAUGUUAUGGGGAAAUGUGUUGCUCUCUGGAACAAAAAAAAAAAAAGGAAAAGUACCUAACUUUAUGAGCAAGUGCCUGAUUCUGCUUCUGAGAGACAUUAUUCUUCCCUUCAGUGAACUGAAAUGGAAACAUAUCACAUUUUUUGUUUGAUGUGCUAUACCAGCACUUUUCUGUCAUUUCAUUUUCACACAGUAACACAAGAAAUAAUUUUGAGGGAAAUCGAAAGGGUAAGAAGUUUUCUGAAUCUUUUUAGUUGAAAAGGAGUUUGAAAGAGAGCUGGGGGAGGUGUUUUAAUAUUCUUUCAGAAGUAAUUGGUGUUGCAAGGAAGUGUAGGAGGCUGAA
This is a long non-coding RNA of Pezoporus occidentalis (night parrot), 678 nucleotides long. RefSeq lists it as uncharacterized. Lineage: Eukaryota; Metazoa; Chordata; Aves; Psittaciformes; Psittacidae. The transcript is spliced from 4 exons. The record is from RefSeq and is a predicted model, not a curated record.